This 460-nucleotide ribosomal RNA is filed under the name uncultured bacterium. RNAcentral's name for it is "partial 16S ribosomal RNA". It matches the Rfam family "Bacterial small subunit ribosomal RNA", at positions 338 to 795 of the family's 1533-position model. The record is from RNAcentral.
CCUACGGGGGGCAGCAGUGAGGAAUAUUGGUCAAUGGACGAGAGUCUGAACCAGCCAAGUAGCGUGAAGGAUGACUGCCCUAUGGGUUGUAAACUUCUUUUAUAAAGGAAUAAAACGAGGCACGUGUGCCUUUUUGCAUGUACUUUAUGAAUAAGGAUCGGCUAACUCCGUGCCAUCAGCCGCGGUAAUACGGAGGAUCCGAGCGUUAUCCGGAUUUAUUGGGUUUAAAGGGAGCGUAGAUGGGUUGUUAAGUCAGUUGUGAAAGUUUGCGUCUCAACCGUAAAAUUGCAAUUGAUACUGGUAGUCUUGAGUACAGUUGAGGUAGGCGGAAUUCGUGGUGUAGCGGUGAAAUGCUUAGAUAUCACGAAGAACCCCGAUUGCGAAGGCAGCUUACUAAACUGUGACUGACAUUGAUGCUCGAAAGUGUGGGUAUCAAACAGGAUUAGAUACCCCAGUAGUC